RNAcentral lists this unclassified non-coding RNA (295 nucleotides) under Trechispora sp. RNAcentral's name for it is "partial contains 5.8S ribosomal RNA, internal transcribed spacer 2, and large subunit ribosomal RNA". The record is from RNAcentral. Lineage: Eukaryota; Fungi; Basidiomycota; Agaricomycetes; Trechisporales; Hydnodontaceae.
CGCACCUUGCGCUCCUUGGUAUUCCGAGGAGCAUGCCUGUUUGAGUGUCUUGAAAUCAUCAACCCCUUCUGUUUUUGAAGCGGACUGGGUUGGACGUGGGGGCUCUGCUGCCGCAAGGCGGCUCCCCUCAAAUGCAUCGGUUGGGCCUGCGUGGUCGAACUCGACUGGGCGUUGUACCAUCCUCGCUCGACAGAGAUGUUCCCCUAGUGCCCUCCCUCGACCUGCCUGUAUGGAGCGGCGGUCAAAAUAUUUGGAAUAGGACCUCAAAUCAGGUAGGACUACCCGCUGAACUUAA